GAUAACUCAUGUAUAUACAUUUAGGCAAUGUCCAAUUUCGUUAAAGAUACUAUGAGCUGCAUUGACCUCGGCAGCCCAAGUCAGGCCGACGAAAGAAGCACACAUACACAAAUGGGAUAAUAGGCAAACGGGAAACCGUAUAACUUCGAACUAUCAGGAAAUUAGACAUGAACUAGGUGCAAGAAAAAUAAUGAUUACAUACCGUGUUCAGUCCUUUUUUCUCUAUUACAUGGACUUUUGAAUCCAGAGGAUGGUUUCAAAUCUUCGUACUACAAGAACGUGUACAAAUUCCGAGUUACCUGGCCGAGACUCGGUUUGGGGGGGGGGGGGGAGGAUAAAAAAAAUGUACGAUUAUUUUAUGAAAUAAAAAUCUCACACAUUUCCAUUCAAGGAGAACAAUGCAGUCGAGAGAUAACUCUGUGCCUGAGAUAUCAUAUAUAUAUAUAUAUACAUAUAUAUGUAUANNNN
RNAcentral lists this long non-coding RNA (468 nucleotides) under Spirodela polyrhiza (greater duckweed). RNAcentral describes it as "long non-coding RNA (SPOL_LNC002567)". Lineage: Eukaryota; Viridiplantae; Streptophyta; Magnoliopsida; Alismatales; Araceae. The record is from RNAcentral.